GUCUUGACGCUGGGUUCCGGCCUAGGGUUCUGGCUUUCCUCCUGGGCUAGUGAACGCGGCGAAGUCCUCCUCUUUCUAAUCUCCAGAGCCGCAGUUCCAUCCUCUGGGUCAGCGGCUUACCCUGACUGGGCUGCGGUAUCUGCCUUCCUUCCCCCAACAAGGCGACAGGUAGUCGGGGCUGGGGCCGGAACUGACUGAGUGGGCCGCAACUGACUGAGUGGGCCGCGGCUCCCGCCUGAGGAGGCUAGGAAGGACUGAACAGCAGCCGACUUCCCAGGCUCUAAAAAUCGUGCCUCUGAGUUAGAGCUACCUCAAAAGCAAGACCAAGCAUGAGAAAUGGAGUCUUUUGGCCAGUAUUGGGGUGUUCGGAAUUCAAGCGUAUGAGAGAGUGGACGGUAGCGUUGAGAAUUUUCAUUUGAAGAUCUCGUCUUAACCACCCCAAGUGUAGUCAGAGGCGGCGUUUUCCCUGCGAGAGUGCCCUGGAACAAAGCAAGGAUAGCGUGGGUUAGACAUACCUGAAAUGAAAGCGUCUUACUUUAUCUAGGUACAUAUUUGCGUCAGUAAGGCGCAACGCCAUUUCUCUCUUGGAAUUCAGAAGUGAAAUAUGGUGACUGGGACGCCUGUACAUUGCUUUGACUUAAAAAUUGAAGUCCAUUAUUCUGACCGAAAGUUAAUCUGAUGAUUAAUUGGUUAAACAUACUAUCGUUGCUAAUUAGCAUAAUUAUUAUUUACAAUAAAGUGAGCUAAAUAGCUACAACUAAAAUAUAUUUAAAUUACUGUGAUAUUGUGAUGCUAAAGAUGUGUUGAAAUUAAUAUCUUGAAUUUCUCAACCCUGCCUAAAUGCCUCUGAGAGUAAUUAGUAUAAUUAAAAGUCACUAGAGAAAGUGAAUGACUCUAAUAACAGGAUAACAAAUUCUUUUCAAGUCAGAUGGUUUCCAGUUCUUUGCUUUCAACAAAAUUAAUGGUGGCCCAUGAAUUGUCAGCUGAUGAAGGAACACUAUUUGGUUUUUGGCAUGCAACUCGGAAAGAAACCAAACGAUUGAUUGACAUGCUUACAACAAAACUACUAGCAUUCUCACCUAUUUAUGUAAAACCAUUUCUCAGCACUUGUAUCUGUGAAAACAACAGAAUUGAAAAUGAACCCUGUUAAUCUACCAGUAGGAACUAUUCAUCCAGAUAAAUGAAUUAAUUGGUGGGUCAGCCCCAUCUAUCUCACUAAGAGAUGUGUUCCCAAUAGAAUUUCACCUUUUAUAACUGUGUGUUAUCAAUAUUUGCAAUCGUGUCAUUUUGAUCCAUUAUAUACUAAAGAUGAUUGUGAUGAUUACUCACUUCAGAAGAAUUCCAGCGUAGAGCCAUAAAGUUACACGAAAUUUUUUAAGGUUUACUACAUAUGUCAUAUUUUUAUUGCGAAGAAGUGAUCAAGAAAAGGUUGUUCAAACAUCAAAGUACUAUAUUUGAAUAACAUUUUUUGUUAGAGUACAAUCUAAAUAUGUUAGAGAUAAUAAAAGAACAAUGUUGAAGA
This 1522-nucleotide long non-coding RNA is filed under the name Homo sapiens (human). RNAcentral's name for it is "non-protein coding lnc-COL9A2-1:6". Lineage: Eukaryota; Metazoa; Chordata; Mammalia; Primates; Hominidae. The record is from RNAcentral.